UGUGCCUGGAAUAAAA
Molecule: ribosomal RNA, 16 nt
Filed under: Coscinasterias calamaria
Lineage: Eukaryota; Metazoa; Echinodermata; Asteroidea; Forcipulatida; Asteriidae
Description: partial 12S ribosomal RNA
Source: RNAcentral